Molecule: ribosomal RNA, 253 nt
Filed under: uncultured bacterium
Lineage: Bacteria
Description: partial 16S ribosomal RNA
Rfam family: Bacterial small subunit ribosomal RNA
Source: RNAcentral
UACGGAGGGUGCAAGCAUUAAUCGGAUUUAUUGGGCGUAAAGGGCGCGUAGGCGGGUGAACAAGUCAGGUGUGAAAUUCCAGAGCUCAACUUUGGAACUGCAUUUGAAACUGUUUGUCUGGAGGAUUGGCGGAGAAAAUGGAAUUCCACAUGUAGCGGUGAAAUGCGUAGAUAUGUGGAAGAACACCUGUGGCGAAAGCGGUUUUCUAGCUUAUACCUGACGCUGAGGCGCGAGAGCAAGGGGAGCAAACAGG